RNAcentral lists this long non-coding RNA (239 nucleotides) under Mytilus galloprovincialis (Mediterranean mussel). Lineage: Eukaryota; Metazoa; Mollusca; Bivalvia; Mytilida; Mytilidae. The record is from RNAcentral.
CUCUAAUUUGGCAUUAAAAUUAGAAAGAUCAUAUCAAAUAUGGAACGUGUGUACUAAGUUUCAAGUUGAUAGGACUUCAACUUCAUCAAAAACUACCUUGACUAAAAACUUUAACCUGAAACGGGAAGAACGGACGAACGAACGAACGAACGAACGAACGGACCCACAGACCAGAAAACAUAAUGUCCCUCUACUAUCGUAGGUGGGGCAUAAACAGAAUUUCCGUUUUAAGAAUCCCU